GCUCGCCCGAACAUUACAAGCAAAAGCUUUAAACCCAAAGGACUUGACGGUGCCCCACACCAACCUAGAGGAGCCUGUCCUAUAAUCGACACACCACGCUAAACCUCACCCCCCCUGGCCCUCAGCCUAUAUACCGCCGUCGCCAGUCCACCUGCUAACAGCCCAACAGCCGACACAAAAGCUUACCACUAAUACGUCAGGUCAAGGUGUAGCUUAUGGGCGGGACAGAGAUGGGCUACACUUCCUACACUAGGGCUACACCAAAAACAACAUGAAACGUAAGUCUAAAGACGGAUUUAGCAGUAAGAUUCGACAAGACACGCCAAUCUGAA
RNAcentral lists this ribosomal RNA (332 nucleotides) under Pachydactylus wahlbergii (Wahlberg's Kalahari gecko). Its description in RNAcentral is "partial 12S ribosomal RNA". It matches the Rfam family "Bacterial small subunit ribosomal RNA", at positions 867 to 1366 of the family's 1533-position model. The record is from RNAcentral. Lineage: Eukaryota; Metazoa; Chordata; Lepidosauria; Squamata; Gekkonidae.